This is a long non-coding RNA of Dromaius novaehollandiae (emu), 341 nucleotides long. RefSeq lists it as uncharacterized. The transcript has 3 exons. The record is from RefSeq and is a predicted model, not a curated record. NCBI's taxonomy places the organism in Eukaryota, Metazoa, Chordata, Aves, Casuariiformes, Dromaiidae.
CUACAAUCCACCUCCUGAAGAUGUGCUGUUAAUCCCUAGGUGUGCCACAGGGCUGCAGAGAGAUCACUGACACAAAGUCAAGAGGACAGACCUCUAAAUAUAAUACCACCUUUUAUAAAAUGAACAGAGCUAAUGCAAGAGUUAGCUGAUGUUUAUAAUCAAGCUUCUGCCAAGAAGGAUAUUUUCAGAAGUCUGAACAACCUGGUGAAGACUGUGUAGUUUUUCAUCCUGAAUUUUUGGUAUUAUGGAUAACAAAGAUUCUGAGCCUGUCUGUGGCUGUUACAAGGAAAUGAACCUGUCAGCUCUUCUGUGGAGGUCUGUUCAUGGAUUAAGCUCCAAUG